This 72-nucleotide transfer RNA is filed under the name Ictidomys tridecemlineatus (thirteen-lined ground squirrel). Its description in RNAcentral is "Spermophilus tridecemlineatus (thirteen-lined ground squirrel) tRNA". It matches the Rfam family "tRNA". Rfam says of the family: Transfer RNA (tRNA) molecules are approximately 80 nucleotides in length. Their secondary structure includes four short double-helical elements and three loops (D, anti-codon, and T loops). Further hydrogen bonds mediate the characteristic L-shaped molecular structure. tRNAs have two regions of fundamental functional importance: the anti-codon, which is responsible for specific mRNA codon recognition, and the 3' end, to which the tRNAs corresponding amino acid is attached (by aminoacyl-tRNA synthetases). tRNAs cope with the degeneracy of the genetic code in two manners: having more than one tRNA (with a specific anti-codon) for a particular amino acid; and 'wobble' base-pairing, i.e. permitting non-standard base-pairing at the 3rd anti-codon position. Lineage: Eukaryota; Metazoa; Chordata; Mammalia; Rodentia; Sciuridae. The record is from Rfam by way of RNAcentral.
UGGGGUGUAGCUCAGUGGUACAGCACUUGCCUAGCAUGUGUGAGGCACUGGGUUCGAUCCUCAGCACCACAU